This 1878-nucleotide ribosomal RNA is filed under the name Triticum aestivum (bread wheat). Its description in RNAcentral is "partial small subunit ribosomal RNA". Lineage: Eukaryota; Viridiplantae; Streptophyta; Magnoliopsida; Poales; Poaceae. The record is from RNAcentral.
AUGGCUUCCCCUUCCCGCCCCGUCCUCACCACCCAGCUGCUCCUCCUCCUCCUCCUGCUGCUCCGCAAUGCCGCCGGCGCCGCGGCCGCGUCCUCCUCGGUGAACCCGUUCACGGCCAAGGCGGCCUUCAUCCGCUACUGGAACCGCAAGGUGCCCAACAACCGCCCCCACCCGGCCUUCUUCGUCUCUAAGCUCUCCCCGCUGCCGGCCGCCGACGCUGCAUCCUUCCCCUCCUCGCUCCCCGACAUCACCGCCCGCCUACCCACACUCUGCUCCAAGGCUGCUCUGCUCUGCCCGUCCUCUGAUGUGGCGUCGCUGGCGGACCGGAAGGGCCAGUUCAAGAGCUACAGCGACGCCAACUUCACCAACUACGGCUCCGGCGCUGGCGCCGGCACCGACGGGUUCAGCAGCUACUCCCCGGACGUCAACGUCGCCGCCGACUCGUUCCGCCGCUACGGCCGGGACUCGUCGGGGCGGGCCGACUCCUUCACCGGCUACGAGGCCAACGGCAACGUCGUCACCGCCAACUUCACCUCCUACGCCGGCGGCGCCACUGGCGGGUCGGGCUCCUUCACGGCCUACGCCGCGGACACCAACGUCCCGGAAUCCAAGUUCACCAACUACGACGCCGGGGCCAAUGGCCGGACCCGCGGGUUCACAUCCUACUCCCAGGAGGCCAACCACGGGGAGAGCAGCUUCGCCGGCUAUGGCAAGAGCGCCAACAGCCUGCGGGAGACUUUCACCUCCUACGGCGGCGACACCAACACCCUCAGCUCCGGCUUCGCCAACUACGGCGAGUCCGCCAACGGCGCCACAGACACCUUCACGGGAUACGGUGUCGAGGGGAACGUGCCCGAGAACACGUUCCGGAGCUACGGUGCCGGCGGCAAUGCCGGAGUGGACACGUUCAAGGGGUACCGCGAUGACGCCAAUGUCGGGGACGACAGCUUCGCCUCCUACGCCAAGGGUGCCAACGGCGGGGCCGCCGAGUUCCAGAGCUACGGUGGCUCGGGCAACCAGGGCAGCGUCGCCUUCAAAGGCUACGGCGAAGGCACCAACCGCAACCACCACAUUGGGUUCAAGCAGUACGCCGGAGACAAUACCACGUUCAAGGGGUACGCCAAGACCGGCAUCGACUUCAAGGCGUAUCACAACACGUCAAGCACAGUGUCAGUGUCGGCGGAGGCAACCACAUCCGAGCAUCGGCAUAUGAAGUGGUCUCCAGAGCCAGGCAAGUUCUUCAGGGAGAGGGAGCUGGUGGCCGGGAACCGAAUGCCCAUGCCGGACAUCAGGGACAAGAUGCCACCCAGGGCAUUCCUGCCGAGAGACAUUGCCGGGAAGAUACCAUUCGAGCCGAAUGCCGUGUCAGAGGUCUUCAGGGUGCCCCUGGACACGGCGAUGGGCAAGGCAGUGGCAUCCACGGUAGCCGAGUGCGAGCGCGCGCCCAGCCAGGGCGAGACCAAGAGGUGCGCGACCUCAGCUGAGGACAUUGUGGACUUUGCUGUGGAGAUGCUAGGCAGUGACAUUGUUGUGCACAGCACGGCCUCCACGGCGGGCAGCGGCGCGGACAUCAGGCUGGGCAAUGUCACCGGAGUGCACGGUGGCAAGGUGACACGGCCUGUAUCAUGCCACCAGAGUCUGUUCCCGUACCUGGUGUACUACUGCCACUCAGUGCCCAAGGCGCGGGUGUACGAGGCCGAUAUCACCGCCGCCGACUCCGGUCAGAAGAUCAAUCACGGGGUGGCCAUCUGUCACCUUGAUACUUCUGAUUGGAGCCCGGCUCAUGGAGCGUUCAUCGCCCUUGGUGGUAAACCCGGCAAAAUAGAGGUUUGCCAUUGGAUCUUCGAGGGCGACAUGACAUGGACAGUCGCAGAUUGA